This 1142-nucleotide ribosomal RNA is filed under the name Vibrio parahaemolyticus. RNAcentral describes it as "partial 23S ribosomal RNA". It matches the Rfam family "Bacterial large subunit ribosomal RNA", at positions 1778 to 2912 of the family's 2925-position model. The record is from RNAcentral. Lineage: Bacteria; Pseudomonadati; Pseudomonadota; Gammaproteobacteria; Vibrionales; Vibrionaceae.
CGCAGAUACCAGGUGGCUGCAACUGUUUAUUAAAAACACAGCACUGUGCAAAAUCGUAAGAUGACGUAUACGGUGUGACGCCUGCCCGGUGCCGGAAGGUUAAUUGAUGGGGUUAGACUUCGGUCGAAGCUCUUGAUCGAAGCCCCGGUAAACGGCGGCCGUAACUAUAACGGUCCUAAGGUAGCGAAAUUCCUUGUCGGGUAAGUUCCGACCUGCACGAAUGGCGUAAUGAUGGCCACGCUGUCUCCACCCGAGACUCAGUGAAAUUGAAAUCGCUGUGAAGAUGCAGUGUACCCGCGGCUAGACGGAAAGACCCCGUGAACCUUUACUACAGCUUGGCACUGAACAUUGACCCUACAUGUGUAGGAUAGGUGGGAGGCUUUGAAGCACGUACGCCAGUAUGUGUGGAGCCGUCCUUGAAAUACCACCCUUGUAGUGUUGAUGUUCUAACGUCGACCCCUUAUCGGGGUUGCGGACAGUGCCUGGUGGGUAGUUUGACUGGGGCGGUCUCCUCCCAAAGAGUAACGGAGGAGCACGAAGGUGGGCUAAUCACGGUUGGACAUCGUGAGGUUAGUGCAAUGGCAUAAGCCCGCUUGACUGCGAGAAUGACAAUUCGAGCAGGUGCGAAAGCAGGUCAUAGUGAUCCGGUGGUUCUGAAUGGAAGGGCCAUCGCUCAACGGAUAAAAGGUACUCCGGGGAUAACAGGCUGAUACCGCCCAAGAGUUCAUAUCGACGGCGGUGUUUGGCACCUCGAUGUCGGCUCAUCACAUCCUGGGGCUGAAGUCGGUCCCAAGGGUAUGGCUGUUCGCCAUUUAAAGUGGUACGCGAGCUGGGUUUAGAACGUCGUGAGACAGUUCGGUCCCUAUCUGCCGUGGGCGUUGGAAGAUUGAAGGGGGCUGCUCCUAGUACGAGAGGACCGGAGUGGACGAACCUCUGGUGUUCGGGUUGUGUCGCCAGACGCAUUGCCCGGUAGCUAAGUUCGGAAUCGAUAACCGCUGAAAGCAUCUAAGCGGGAAGCGAGCCCUGAGAUGAGUCUUCCCUGAUACUUUAAGUAUCCUAAAGGGUUGUCGGAGACUACGACGUUGAUAGGUCAGGUGUGUAAGUGCUGUGAGGCAUUGAGCUAACUGAUACUAAUUGCCCGU